RNAcentral lists this transfer RNA (65 nucleotides) under Aphyosemion cognatum (redspot panchax). RNAcentral describes it as "tRNA-Cys". It matches the Rfam family "tRNA". From Rfam's summary of the family: Transfer RNA (tRNA) molecules are approximately 80 nucleotides in length. The record is from RNAcentral. Lineage: Eukaryota; Metazoa; Chordata; Actinopteri; Cyprinodontiformes; Nothobranchiidae.
AGCUCUGAGGUGUAAGCACGUAUGAUUGCAAAUCAUAAGUAGCAGGUUUGCGUCUGCCGGGGCUU